GCCGAGGUAGCUCAGCCUGAUCCUUGGACGAGGAGGCUCUGGAGAGCGCCCGGCUGAAGAUCGGCCCAUUCGCAGGUUCAAAUCCUGCCCUCGGCACCA
RNAcentral lists this transfer RNA (99 nucleotides) under Candidatus Bathyarchaeota archaeon. Its description in RNAcentral is "tRNA-Phe". It matches the Rfam family "tRNA". Rfam says of the family: Transfer RNA (tRNA) molecules are approximately 80 nucleotides in length. Their secondary structure includes four short double-helical elements and three loops (D, anti-codon, and T loops). The record is from RNAcentral. Lineage: Archaea; Thermoproteati; Candidatus Bathyarchaeota.